GUGAUGACUGCCCGAGAUGACUGCCCGGGAUGACUGCCUUAGAUGACUGCCCGAGAUGACUGCCCGAGAUGAUGUUACUUGGAAGACUUUUCUAUCUCGUUCGUUGACACACAUCAGCAAGAUGAGGUCACAUCGACGGUCGGUAAAUUUCGACCUCAAACAGGACGAGACAACGAAUGCUGACACGAACCAACCAACCACACAACCAAACUCAAACUAACCUAAAACAUUCAAACAUAUCUUUAGGCGGCGGCGAAGCUCCCGGGUAGACGAAGUGAAAAUCUCUCGCUCGACGGCAAGAACUCGCCUCUGGAAUUCUCGACCUUCCAUUGUGUUCUACUUUGCACGAGAUGAUUGCCCGAGAUGACUGCCCGAGAUGACUGUCAAUUUACAUCCUGUGGACAAGUGCUGCAAGGCCAACGCCAUCCAGAAUAUGGAGUCCUAAUCAUUUUGUUCUAUUAUUGCUAGCCAAGGAACUGCCAACGAUGACCUUCUCGGAGCAGAAAAAAAGCUAUUCGGAGGCAUGUCAUUUAGUGUUAUCAGUUAACUGGACUUUGUGAGAGUUUUCUUGCAAAAUGUUUGCCAAGGUGGCGAUCGAAGGUGGACAGCAAGAUCGAAGCUCAGCAAGAUUGAAGAUUGUUCGAGGAAGAAGGAGUUCGCCGUUGACUAAAAGUUUUAUCUGAACAGCUAGUUGUCAAGAUGAACGUGAAGAGAAAAAAGAUGAAAUCAGUUCAAGACUCGCCCGGCCAAAUUCAAAAUGGCGAUGCCAAAGAAAACCAUACAC
Long non-coding RNA from Dendronephthya gigantea, 784 nucleotides. RefSeq lists it as uncharacterized. The record is from RefSeq and is a predicted model, not a curated record. NCBI's taxonomy places the organism in Eukaryota, Metazoa, Cnidaria, Anthozoa, Malacalcyonacea, Nephtheidae. The transcript is spliced from 4 exons.